RNAcentral lists this ribosomal RNA (253 nucleotides) under uncultured bacterium. RNAcentral describes it as "partial 16S ribosomal RNA". It matches the Rfam family "Bacterial small subunit ribosomal RNA", at positions 524 to 776 of the family's 1533-position model. The record is from RNAcentral.
UACGUAGGGGGCAAGCGUUGUCCGGAUUUAUUGGGCGUAAAGAGCGUGUAGGCGGUUUGGUAGGUCCGCUGUGAAAACUCGAGGCUCAACCUCGAGACGCCGGUGGAAACCAUCAGACUAGAGUCCGGAAGAGGAGAGUGGAAUUCCUGGUGUAGCGGUGAAAUGCGCAGAUAUCAGGAGGAACACCGAUGGCGAAGGCAGGUCUCUGGGCCAUUACUGACACUGAGAAGCGAAAGCAUGGGGAGCGAACAGG